UAGAAAACCACCAAGCGCAAAGGUAAUGAAUAUUUUAGCGAUUUUACAAAUGUUUUACAUUUCAGAAAUACAACGUAAUUCCUUAUCAUUGAUUUAAAACUAUGGUAUUCAAUGCAUAUUGCAUACAGAACCACCACGUGUGAGCUAAAUCGCAAUGUUGAUUCAAUUACUACAGUAAUAAUAUCUCCAAUACUGAAUUCGAAGUAAGUAUGGUAGGUAUACAAAUUAAUUAAAUUUUGUAACUCAUCACCCUACGUAGAGAUUCGAUGAUACUAACUAGUCCAUAUAUCAUCUGAAUGAUGCAAAAUAUUCGUGUUACGUGAACAGUUAUACACUAAUUCGAAAAAUGUAAAUAAUCCAACAUUAAGAGCAUGCCUAAGCAGCGCAAAUAUUUGCUAGUCCCUAUCAAUGGAGAAUAACAAUCCACUAUGCACUUCCUUCUUCAUUUCUCAUUUCAGAAAUAAUGGUUACAGCUCAUUAUACAUACAGGGUGCAAUUGAGAACAAAAGCUUGUAUGCGCACAAAAUUAUCGAAAAACCUCAAGAAUAGUACGAUUUUUUAGCAAAUAAGUAUUUGCGGCAAUUUAUAUUGCACUGACUUUAUAACACAUUAUCAAAUACAGAUAACGUGCAGAUCAACUUCAGUGCGCCCAAAAAUUAAAAUCAUUAACUAUCACAAAACAAUACUUCUACGAAUCAAGAUCAAUAAAAUCAUUAGGUAUCAUGAAUAAAAUAUCAACUCACCAGUGAAGAUUAAGAGUCCUGCUCAAUAACAAAUGAAUUGCUUCAGUGGAUGUGGCU
This is a long non-coding RNA of Planococcus citri (citrus mealybug), 800 nucleotides long. RefSeq lists it as uncharacterized. Lineage: Eukaryota; Metazoa; Arthropoda; Insecta; Hemiptera; Pseudococcidae. The transcript has 2 exons. The record is from RefSeq and is a predicted model, not a curated record.